This 253-nucleotide ribosomal RNA is filed under the name uncultured bacterium. RNAcentral describes it as "partial 16S ribosomal RNA". It matches the Rfam family "Bacterial small subunit ribosomal RNA", at positions 524 to 776 of the family's 1533-position model. The record is from RNAcentral.
GACGAACCGAGCGAACGUUAUUCGGAAUCACUGGGCUUAAAGGGCGCGUAGGCGGGCCGUCAAGUCAGGGGUGAAAGCCCCCAGCUCAACUGGGGAAGUGCCUCUGAUACUGGCGGCCUCGAGCGAGGUAGGGGCGUGCGGAACUUCCGGUGGAGCGGUGAAAUGCGUAGAUAUCGGAAGGAACACCGGUGGCGAAAGCGGCGCGCUGGACCUCUUCUGACGCUGAGGCGCGAAAGCCAGGGGAGCGAACGGG